Long non-coding RNA from Dalotia coriaria, 512 nucleotides. RefSeq lists it as uncharacterized. The transcript is spliced from 3 exons. The record is from RefSeq and is a predicted model, not a curated record. NCBI's taxonomy places the organism in Eukaryota, Metazoa, Arthropoda, Insecta, Coleoptera, Staphylinidae.
GUUUAGUUCUUAUUGCAUUAAGUACGAGUACGUGUCUAUUGAAUUCGCGGACAAGGUCGCGUGUGAUCGACGCGCCGCCGGAUUUGCGCAUCUAUUGCUUUCUUAUCAUAAACUGUCGCGUUGUUGCUUGCACAGUUUGCAGUCAGUUUCGUGCCGGUUCCUGGUUGGUCCAGGCGUAUUUUUACACGACUCGUGUUGUUUGUCCGGACAUCUACUUGCCAAAUUCGCAUUAUAUUCGAUCAUCAAUUGACUAUAGUAAUUUUAUUUACGGUUUGCGCGUAUAUAGUCCAUAGAUGCCGGUUAAGUGCAUCGCCCACAUGUUGAUUUGAUAUUCAUCAUGAGGAUGACCCAUCGCGCUGGUUAUUUGCCGAUCCUUGGAGUCCAUGAGUUUUGCAUUGCAAUUGCCUUCGAGUUCCGAGUUCCUUCGAGUCACGAGCUAAAUUAGAAUGCGAAUUUCAUUCGCUUCGUCGUUCGACUCCCGAUUUAAAAUAAAAUAAAUAUUGACACCCCUU